AUUGAACGCUGGCGGAAUGCUUUACACAUGCAAGUCGAACGGUAGAGGGGGCAACCCCUCGAGAGUGGCGAACGGGGGAGUAAUAUAUCGGAACGUGCCCAGUCGUGGGGGAUAACGUAGCGAAAGUUACGCUAAUACCGCAUACGAUCUAAGGAUGAAAGCGGGGGAUCGCAAGACCUCGCGCGAUUGGAGCGGCCGAUAUCAGAUUAGGUAGUUGGUGGGGUAAAGGCUCACCAAGGCAACGAUCUGUAGCUGGUCUGAGAGGACGACCAGCCACACUGGAACUGAGACACGGUCCAGACUCCUACGGGAGGCAGCAGUGGGGAAUUUUGGACAAUGGACGCAAGUCUGAUCCAGCCAUUCCGCGUGCAGGAUGAAGGCCCUCGGGUUGUAAACUGCUUUUGUACGGAACGAAAAGGUCUCUCUUAAUACGGGGGGCUCAUGACGGUACCGUAAGAAUAAGCACCGGCUAACUACGUGCCAGCCGCCGCGGUAA
RNAcentral lists this ribosomal RNA (496 nucleotides) under uncultured bacterium. RNAcentral describes it as "partial 16S ribosomal RNA". It matches the Rfam family "Bacterial small subunit ribosomal RNA", at positions 30 to 523 of the family's 1533-position model. The record is from RNAcentral.